This is a long non-coding RNA of Glycine soja, 1229 nucleotides long. RefSeq lists it as uncharacterized. The record is from RefSeq and is a predicted model, not a curated record. Lineage: Eukaryota; Viridiplantae; Streptophyta; Magnoliopsida; Fabales; Fabaceae. The transcript is spliced from 6 exons.
AUUGGAUCUGGAACAUCAUAGCCAGCGACAUAAAGAGUGAUUGGUCCAUGUGGUUUGCUAAUGACACACCGUUGGACAUCGGCAUCAUCACCACAAUUCGAAAGAAAUGGGCAACAUUUUUUUUAAAGACAGCAAUAAGUCAAAACGGCUAAUGAUGGCGUUGGAGUAUUUUUUUCCCUGUAUUUGAGACAAUUGUUAUGUUAUUUGACACAGCGGCUAUUUUAUUUUCGGUCAUGCUACUAAUAUUCUAUUCUUAGUAUUACCUACUCAAUUUCAUAUAAUUGUAGUAAUAUAUUGUCUUUACCCCCUUCUACUGCAUUGCAUCUGCAUUUGAUUACCACAGCAACAAUUUAGUGCAGCUAUAGUACCACCAAGCUUGCCACUGCAGCAGUUAAGUGAACAAAUGAAGUGUCCACAGUCAUUGGAUGGUUGCUUGGUAGAGGUACAUGCUAAUAACUAAUAAGAUUUCCUGUGCAGGGUAUCAUUGUUUUUGCAUGACUGAUGGCUACCUUGGGGCUGGAGAUUUUGGUUGAAUCUGCCUCAAGUGUUAUUUUGAAGAUGAUAUUAUCAUUUGACCUUGCUUUUGCUUUGAUUCCGCUCCUAAAGUUCAGUAGCAGCAAAGUGACUAGCAGCACAAGCAUUGAAGAGAGAUUGCAGGGAUUCCAAGGGAAGGGGACCAGGGGAUGAAAAAUAUGAUUAAAGAGAGUUCUUGAGGAGUUUGUCACAUGCUCAGGGAAGUGGAAGAUUUUGCACGAAGGUUAAAUUCUGCUUGGCCUGAAAGGAUGCAAAUUUGAUCUUUGGCCCAACACAGAAGACUAGUAACAAUUUCUAUGAAUAGCAAUGGUUCAACGCAGUUGUAUAUAGGCAAAAUACUUCAACGACGGUCCUUAUGAAAACCCGUCUUUAUAGCCUUAUUUACCAACAACGACGGGUGCUCCAGCCACCGUCGUUGAAACCUCAAACAACAAUGACGGUGUACACACCACCGACGUUGACAUACUACCAAACAACGUCGGUGGUGAGCCCGCCACCGAUGUUGACAGGAAACAAAACAAAUACGGGUGUUAUUGGUACCCGACGUUGAUAUGGACAACAACAACGACGAGUCUUGCGAACCCGACGUUGAAAUGGACCAAAACAACGACGGGUUGUCUAAUAUGUGCGUCGUUGAAUCCUUUUUUAUAACGUCUAUUCUUUUAUAGCCACUGACGUUGUAUUCUUGCAUUACA